GACGAACGCUGGCGGCGUGCUUAACACAUGCAAGUCGAACGGAAAGACCCGGCGUUUGUGGGUUGGUCGAGUGGCGAACGGGGGAGUAACACGUGAGUAACCUGCCCUUAACUUAGGGAGAACUUCAGGAAACUGCGGCUAAUACCGGAUAGGAUCUCCUGCUGCGUGGUGGGGGUUGGAGAGUGUCGGCGGUUGGGGCUGGACUCGCGGCUUAUCAGCUGGUUGGUCGGGUAGUGGCUUUCCAGGGCUUUGACGGGUAGCCGGCCUGAGAGGGUGAACGGGCACAUUGGGACUGCGAGACGGCGCAGACGCGUACGGGAGGCAGCAGUGGGGAAUCUUGCACAAUGGGGGGAAGCCUGAUGCAGAAACGCCCCGUGCGGGAUGACGGCCUUCGGGUUGUAAACCGAUUUGGCCGGUGACGAAGCGGGCGUGACGGUAAUGGGUAAAGAAGCACCGGCUAACUACGUG
This 468-nucleotide ribosomal RNA is filed under the name uncultured bacterium. RNAcentral describes it as "partial 16S ribosomal RNA". It matches the Rfam family "Bacterial small subunit ribosomal RNA", at positions 28 to 507 of the family's 1533-position model. The record is from RNAcentral.